Molecule: RNA transcript, 2647 nt
Organism: Helianthus annuus (common sunflower)
Lineage: Eukaryota; Viridiplantae; Streptophyta; Magnoliopsida; Asterales; Asteraceae
Exons: 8
Source: RefSeq, a predicted model, not a curated record
GGGUAUACAAUUUGCCAAACUGGUGGCCUCCCUCAUCAUAAAUGGAGAAUUUGGAUGGUCUUCUCCUUCACAUACUCCUAUCUAAUGGGUAUAACUGCAUCAAAUCCAUUUAAUUUAGUGAGGUCGUUUCUGGUCUGAUUUCGAUUCUUGUUGAUGGAAAGAAUCGGUGUGAGCGUCUGAUCACUCAUCUAGGGUUAGGGUUCCGACUUCGUCUUCUUCGUUUGACGGAUUCACUUCCUGCUGCUUCGGUUGCUCCGUUGAUGCCGCCAGCUGGAGGUCCCGUGAAAUGUAAUUGGACGGAGCAUACAUCUCCUGAUGGAUACAGUACUACUACAACAGAACAACUGGUGAAAGCAAAUGGGAGAAACCAGAGGAGUUUCGUAUGGUUGCAUAUUUGUGUUUUAGACGAAUAACAUAAAGCCGGUUUCUUCAUCCGUAUGCGGACAACCAGGUUAGUGAAAUUUGAAUCGCCUUUUUGAAGAUGAUCUGAAUCAAUGGCCAAUUCCCUGGUCCUUGGCUUGAUGCUGUCACAACUCUUCCCAAUGUACAAAAGCACUUCUUCCCAAUUUAUAUUCUAUCAAAAAGCUACGAACUAAUGGAAAAGACUCUUAAGGUUUACAUAUACAAAGAAGGAGAUAAACCGAUAUUCCACCGGCCGGAGGCUAUGCUAACAGGAGUUUAUGCAUCCGAGGGAUGGUUCAUGAAGAAUAUCAAAGAAAGCAAAAAUUUUGUUACUGGUAACCCCGAAAAAGCCCAUCUAUUUUACAUUUCUUUUAGCUCUCGAGUAUUGCACUUACAACUAUAUGUCCCCGGGUCUCAUAGUAAAAAGAACCUGCCUCAAUACUUGAAGAACUACGUUCAUCGCAUGACAACGAGAUAUAAUUUUUGGAAUAGAACAUAAAAUAAAAAAUAUCUAUUAGAUUUAUUGAUUUUCUUUUGUUAUUUUUUUCUGAUGAUGGUUGGUUUUAUUGAGUGCAAAUUAAUGGAAAAAGUUGCUUCUGAUAAGUGUCACAAAUGGGUCUUCAAAGAACCUUCAGAAUGUGAUCAGAGCAUAUCUAACUAUUGGCAAAGUUCUUUUGAUGCUGUAUGCUUCUCCCACACACACUUACACCUUCAAACACACACACACACACACACUUUACACUUUCUCUUAGGACUUGAUUUGUGUAUAAAAACAUUUGCAUUUGGGUUCAUUUGGGUCGACUCAGAUUAUACAACAGGUCAAUUUGAUUCUAUUCGAAUCAAAUUACAACCACAAGCUUGCAUUGCUGCAGUCAUUUUUCAAAACCACUUCUUACAGCAACCGAUGGUGCUGAUGAAAUUGCAAUUAAACGUGAAGAAAGGGAAAAUCUCGCUCUAAACCACAUCACAAAAUGCCAACGUGCUUGUUUGCUGCAACCUUUUCACCGAUUGUGGUUGCUGCUGAGGAGGGUGAAUGUAUCAGGAUAUGGAAUUUAUAAUGUGCAGGUUGUUGGGUCUAAACGGAUGCAAUACCUGAUAACGACCCGCAACAUGCAUUUGGCUGGUAAUUUUGAAACCCAAAGUUGGCUGCUGAUGUUGAAGCCUAGGCCCAAUCUCGCUAAUAUGGGCUAUGAUGAUCACGUUUAAUAUCGGUGUGAAGGCCCAGUUUUGGGUGCAGAAUCGGAACCAUGGCAAAGAGGCAUCAAAUGGUCGUUACUUUGGCAUAGGUUUGAUCAUCAACAGCUCUUGGAAGGCCCAUUUUUUGGUAAAUCUGAUCACAAGUGCUAUUAUGGUCCUAUGGUGUUUACUUGCUGGUAUGAUAAAAAAGAAAGCGGGUUUUGACUUUUUCAACGGCAUCGAGAAAUACCGCUCUGCAUUUCUCAAAGCCGAACCUCAAGCGUUCGUUGUACCAAACCAUUGGGACGCCAAUGUUCUUUUUUACGUAGCUAACGGUAUCGCUUUCUCACUACAUGUUAAAAAAUAAAGUUAAUUCAAUUCAUGCGUUUUGAUAUAAUUUUUAGGCCAGGGAACGAUUACUCUGAUCGAAGGAGAUUCCCGACAAAGCCAUAACAUUAAGCGCGGGGAACUCUUCUAUGUAUCCGUGUGAAUCACCAAGUAUCUAAUCAACAUCGACAACAACGGACGCCUUGUUUUGGCGAAGAUUCUACAUUCGGUCUUCGUCCCCGGUGAAUUGCAGCUCUUUAGCGUAGAAGGUGGUAACGCAGAGUCAUCAUUCUACAACGCGUUCAGUAUCGAAGUUCUAGAAGCUGCAUUUGGUGUUGAUCGCGAAUCGGCCCAUAAAAUGGUUGGGCAGCAGAAUACUGAGGAGCAAAUUAGAUCAUUGUCCGGAGAAGAUAAAAGUAGUCGUUGGCCUUUUGGCGACCAAAAAGGAAAGGGAAGGGGCACACAUAUCUACAAGAGCGAACCAUCUGUGGCGAACGAGAACGGUAUCCUCCACGAAGUUGAUUCCAAAGAUUUCCCUGGUCUUCGAGAUAUCAAUGUAGCCUUUUCACUCUUCAAAUUUGAACGGUUUUGUGUAUUUUUUUUUUGGCAAUUACCGGACGAAUUACUUUCCGAUGAUUCUGUUUAUACUUGGUAAGGGAACUGAUACGAAGAGUUCCAAUUUUCUAAAACAUUAUGGUACAAAGUUGAGUUUAUGUUAAAUAUUAGGCUUAUGUAGCACCUA